Molecule: long non-coding RNA, 676 nt
Organism: Symphalangus syndactylus (siamang)
Lineage: Eukaryota; Metazoa; Chordata; Mammalia; Primates; Hylobatidae
Source: RefSeq, a predicted model, not a curated record
GCUUUGUCCAGGUCUACAGGCUGCACCUUCCUGCCGUGGGAACAUAGGUACGACUCGCCGUCCUCCAGCUCCUCCAGGCGCGUGAUGCUGUGCCUGCCCCGAGGGGUGCUGAUGUUCCUCACUCCAAAAGGACUUUUUCACACAUAAAGUCCCCAGAUGGCACCUGAUCCUUCUAAUGACUACCUGUAGUCUAAUCGGACUCGAAGAUGCUUCACCUAAUCGGGUUUCCUACUGGGCUUCCUGCCUCAGCUCUGAACAACAAAAACAAGGAUAUAUAAAUAGCACAUAGGUAGGAACCUUUUAAUGCAGCAACUACAGAAUGAUUAAGAAAGCAGUGCCUGCCUUCUCUCUGCUCAAACACUCACGUGAGAAAGAACUCCACUCUUACCUAUUGAUCACGGUGCUAUAGAAGUAGACAUUAUUUUUGAGAACUCAUGGACACAAAGUAGGGAACAACAAACACUGGGGCCCACUUGAAGAUAGAGUGCGAGAGGAGGGAGAGGAGCAGAAAAAAUAACUAUUGGGUACUGAGCUUAGUACCUGGGUGACCAAAUAAUCUGUACACAAGCCCAUGACACAAGUUUACCUAUAUAACAAACCAGCACAUGAACCUAAAUACCCCUGAACCUAAAAUAAAAAUAAAAGUUAAAAAGACCUACUAUUUGAUAGCAAACGA